This 342-nucleotide long non-coding RNA is filed under the name Vulpes vulpes (red fox). RNAcentral describes it as "lncRNA (ENSVVUG00000019389.1)". The record is from RNAcentral. Lineage: Eukaryota; Metazoa; Chordata; Mammalia; Carnivora; Canidae.
CAAAAAUCCCUGUGUGCCAUCUGCCUGCAUCUCAAUAGAGACUCUCAGAUGCAACAUCACAAUGGUUCCUGGUCAUUCAGGAGUGAGUGGGGCUUGGGGGCCAGAGUAUAAACUGAGGGAUCUGAACUUGUUGAAACCAGACAAGCAAGGUCUAUCAGUCAAGAGAGGUUUAAUCUAGAAAGUGCAAGAAGAUGCAGAUAGUAGCAAGGCCAUACGAGAUGGCCCAGAAGCCAGAGAUAGUCUCUGAGUCACAGUAUGGGAGAAGGCUGCUAACUGUCUCACCGUGGAGUAUUGGAGAUAAAGGAUCAAGAAGAGAGAGAGUCUAUUUCCUGGAGACCGCAG